This 201-nucleotide ribosomal RNA is filed under the name uncultured bacterium. Its description in RNAcentral is "partial 16S ribosomal RNA". It matches the Rfam family "Bacterial small subunit ribosomal RNA", at positions 524 to 721 of the family's 1533-position model. The record is from RNAcentral.
UACGUAGGGGGCAAGCGUUAUCCGGAAUCACUGGGUGUAAAGGGUGCGUAGGCGGUUAUGCAAGUCAGAUGUGGAAAUGUCGAGGCUCCAACUUCGGAACUGCAUUUGAACUGCGUGACUAGAGUACAGGAGAGGGUAAGUGGGAAUUCCUAGUGUAGCGGUGAAAUGCGUAGAUAUUAGGAAGAACACCAGUGGCGAAGG